GACGAACCGUGCGAACGUUGUUCGGAAUCACUGGGCUUAAAGGGCGCGUAGGCGGCUUGCCAAGUCCGGGGUGAAAGCCUCCAGCUUAACUGGAGAAGUGCCUUGGAUACUGGCAGGCUCGAGCGAGGUAGGGGCAGAUGGAACUUCCGGUGGAGCGGUGAAAUGCGUUGAUAUCGGAAGGAACGCCGGUGGCGAAAGCGAUCUGCUGGACCUCUUCUGACGCUGAGGCGCGAAAGCUAGGGUAGCGAACGGG
Molecule: ribosomal RNA, 253 nt
Filed under: uncultured bacterium
Lineage: Bacteria
Description: partial 16S ribosomal RNA
Rfam family: Bacterial small subunit ribosomal RNA
Source: RNAcentral